UUCUUUAAUAAAUUCUUUUUAAGCAGGUAGCUAUUUAAUGUAACUCUUUGGGGUUGGAGAGAUGUUUUUUUACUUCAGUGUCCUCCUCUGAAAGUGAACCCCAAUGUUUCCUAUUCCCAUAGUAAGUUUCUAUAGUUGGCUUCUUUCUCCUUUGUCAAUUUUUUUUUUUUUUUUUUUUAAUGAGAACUUAAUUAGUGUAACCAUCUCUAGUCCUGAAGUUGGGGAGAUGAUGCCUCUGGCUUCCCAUCAGUUCUUCCCUCUGGUCUGGAAUCCCCAACCAAGACAUCCACCCUCCUAUAAGUUCCUGCAGCCAGCUUUCCUUCCAGGACUGCAUCUCAGCAGGGUCUGGCUUUAUCAGGUGAGGUUCCCUCAAUCCUUGAGGUAGAACUACCCCCACUCCUCAGGGUGUCUGGGAGGUGAAAGUUCCAGUUGUUUGAACUGAGGUGACUUCCAAACCGAGCUAGUCCCAGGGCUCCCCCUUUGCUAUUUUAGUGGAGCUAGCCUGGAGGUGAUUACACUUCAUACCAAUUACCUCUUUCCUGGACUUUUUUUUUGGGGGGAGGGAUAUGGGGGGGUCCUCUCUGGUUGUCUCUGGAAGGCCCCUGUUAUACCUCUAGUUUUAUUUUUCACCAGUGUUCAUCUAUAGGUGUAAUUUUGUUUUGUAUUUAGGGAGAAUCUGGAGAGCUUGGAAUUUUCCAAUCUGUUCCACCAUCUACCCAGAAUCCUAACUAUUCCAAAUGACUCUUGAGGGUUUUGAUGAAAUCUUGUAUUUGGGAGCUUGCCUUCCCUCUAUCUCCUACUUUCUCAAAGAAAAAAAAAAUGCCUCUUUGUCCUCUUAGUUCCUGCUAAAUAUAAGCUGCAAAAAGGAGGACUAGAUUUGCUACCAUUAUAAUUAUCCAUCGCAGGAAAAUGAUGGCUUCUCACUAAGUGUAGUUUGGAUAAUUUUUUACUUGAGAGAAUGCUGUGGACAGAAAUAAUCAUGUACAAUAGAAACAUAAAAUAAUGUUGGAAACAAUUGGUGGCCAGUCUCAUAACCCAACAUAUUAAUAGUCCCUUUUUACCACGUACCACUCAAGAAGAAUACUCCUAGGCAUAGGGAGCUCAGUACCUUAUGGGACUGUUCCACUUGCAAAUAGUAAGUUCUCCCUUAUAUUGAGCUAAAAACAGUAUGUCUAUAACUUUCAUUGAUUUUAUUUUGCUCUUGGGAAUUGUGCAGAGCUAGUCUAAUUUCCUUUGUGUAGUAAUUAUUUAAAUAUUUAUGGAGUUAUGUCUUCGUCAAUUUUAGAUUCUUUUUAUUAGGCUAAACAUCCUCAAUUUCUUCAAGUGAACUCAAGAUAGUUUUAAGUUGUUGCCUUCAUGGUUCUUUCUGCCUUCCAUUUUGUCAAAUUUUAAUACCUGUUUGUUGUUUUGUUUUAUUUUUUUAAUGAAAUUUGAGCUACAUUGCAUUUUAAUUAAGAAGCAGCCAAUGCAGCCCUUUUCAUAUGUCUAGAAACUGGAGAUUGAAUGGAUGCCCAUUAAUAGGAGAAUGGCUGAGUAAAUUAUGCUGUCUAAUGUUUUGGAAUAUUAUUGUUCUGUAAGAAAUGACCAGCAGGAUGAUUUCAGAAAGGCUUGGAGAGACUUACAUGAACUGAUGCUGAGUGAAAUGAGCAAAACCAGGAGAUCAUUAUACACAGCAGCAACAAUACUGUAUGAUGAUUUCUGCAUUUCUGAUGGACGUGGCUCUCUUCAACAAUGAGAGGAUCCAAUUCAAUUCCAAUUGGUCUGUAAUGAAGAGAACCGAUUACACUCAGUGAAAGAACACUGGGAAAUGAGUGUGGACCGCAACAUAGCAUUUGCAUUCUUUCUGUUGUUUGCUUACAUUUUUGUUUUUCUUCCCAGGUUUUUUUUACUUUCUAAACCCGAUUUUUCUUACGCAACAAGAUAACCGUAUAAAUGUGUAUACAUAUAUUGCAUUUAACAUAUGCUUUAACAUGUUUAACAUGUAUGAGACUGCCUGCCAUCUAGGGGAAGGGGUGGGGGGAAGGAGGGGAAAACUUGGAACAGAAGGUUUUGCAGUUGUCAAUGCUGAAAAAUU
This 2074-nucleotide long non-coding RNA is filed under the name Sarcophilus harrisii (Tasmanian devil). RNAcentral describes it as "lncRNA (ENSSHAG00000027013.1)". The record is from RNAcentral. Lineage: Eukaryota; Metazoa; Chordata; Mammalia; Dasyuromorphia; Dasyuridae.